Molecule: ribosomal RNA, 478 nt
Filed under: uncultured bacterium
Lineage: Bacteria
Description: partial 16S ribosomal RNA
Rfam family: Bacterial small subunit ribosomal RNA
Source: RNAcentral
GAUGAACGCUGGCGGCGUGCUUAACACAUGCAAGUCGAACGAGAAAUGUAGACGGACACCUUCGGGCGGAAGCCUUCAUUUCGAGUGGCGGACGGGUGAGUAACGCGUGGGUAACCUGCCUCAUACAGGGGGAUAACAGUUGGAAACGACUGUUAAUACCGCAUAAGACCACAGCAUCGCAUGAUGCGGGGGUAAAAACUCCGGUGGUAUGAGAUGGACCCGCGUUCGAUUAGCCAGUUGGCGGGGUAACGGCCCACCAAAGCGACGAUCGAUAGCCGAUCUGAGAGGAAGACCGGCCACAUUGGGACUGAGAACCGGCCCAAACUCCUACGGGAGGCAGCAGUGGGGAAUAUUGCACAAUGGGGGAAACCCUGAUGCAGCGACGCCACGUGAGUGAAGAAGUACUUCGGUAUGUAAAGCUCUAUCAGCAGGGAAGAAAAUGACGGUACCUGAGGAAGAAGCCCCGGCUAACUACGUG